This is a long non-coding RNA of Brassica napus (rape), 3219 nucleotides long. RefSeq lists it as uncharacterized. The transcript is spliced from 2 exons. The record is from RefSeq and is a predicted model, not a curated record. NCBI's taxonomy places the organism in Eukaryota, Viridiplantae, Streptophyta, Magnoliopsida, Brassicales, Brassicaceae.
UUACAAUACUCUAAAUAUAAUUAUAAAUCAAACCGGAUUACAUAUUGGGUCAUAUAUCAGUUCAACCGAUAACCAGAUCUUGGGUUUUAACGGUUGUUACGGGUUUUAUAGAAUUUUUAAAUAACCCUUUUUUUUUUUGAAAACUAAAAUGGAUUACAUAUGAACCACCGAAUUUGGCAAUUUAACUGCGGGUCGGGUCGGAUUUCAAAACAUUGAAUAUAAUUUUUUAUUUGUAAUAUCUAAGUGUAGAUACAAUUAAAAUACAAAUUUAUAUCAAAUAAAUUUGAAAUGUUUCGAAAAUAAUCCCGCGCUUUGAAAGCGCGGGUCAAAAUCUAGUAAAAUAUUAAUGUGUAAAACACAAGCCUAUUUGAUUUUAGGACAGAAUCUGAGUAGUGAUACAAUUAUUUAUGGACACUAGCUAUAUUUAACAUCAAGCUCUUUUCACUCCAGUAAGGGUGGAGUGAAUAAUGCAAUAUUUUGAAACCCCGAUUCGGACAUAGAACCGGACGAUUUAUCGGAUCACCAGGUUAUUGGGUUGAAGGCGGAUUAGUAAAAAAAAUAAUUUUAUUAUAUAAUAAUAUAUUAGCUAUGAAAAUAAAAAUAUAAAAAAUAAAAUAACUAUUUUCUAAAUAUUUUAAAACAUAAAAUAAUAAUUUGGAUAUGUAUAUAAUUUAUGUUUCAAAAACAUUUGGAUAAUACUUAACUUUAGUUCCUAUAUUUUAUUUUUGUUUCACAUACAAAAUAUCAGAAAAGAUAGUUUAGAUUCAUUUUCUUAACAAGUUAAGAGUUAUGGCAUCUAACAAAAAUAUCAAGAUUUAAAAUUCAUAAAUAUUUAAAUGUUUAGUAUGCAUAAUAAAAUUAAACUUCAAAUCUAAAUAAACCAAAACUAAAACAUCAUUGUAACAAAUUGUCGAUAACAAAAAUAAAACUAAAACCUAGCAUAAAUUUAGAAUACAAAAAAAAAUUCUAAAUGCAUAGUUAAAAACUUAAAAAAAAAUAGAAAUUAUCAAUUGGUUCAACCAGUGAUUUAACUGGUAACUGAAUUUUUGAUUUUAGUGAGUUUUUGCAGGUUUUAUUGGGUUUUUAAAUAUUAGAUUUUUUGCAAAACCCAAACCGAAUUUAUUUUGUGUCAUCGAAUUUACCGGUUCAACCGCGGAUCCGGAUCGGGUUUCAAAACACUGAGUGAAUGUGUAAUAUAGGUUAAGUUUAGUUGUUUUUCUUGUAGAGUACGCACUCAUCUACAUAAUCUUAUAUCCCGAUAACUUGCAGCGGUAGUUUGCCUGAAUGGAAAUGUAACAUAGUCCCUUAUAUAUGUUCCAAUAAUUUGCAUUCCAUUAACUUUUUACUACUUUGUUGUUAUUUAUAGUCUGGUUUUGAUGUUCAUAUAUAGAUCCAAUACUUUGCAUUCCGAUCACUUUUUACGACUUUGAUGUAAUUUAUUCAUCAGUUGCCAAUCUCACAAUUACCUCAAGCAUUGAUUUUUUAUAUAGUAUCUAGUAUAUCUAGUUCAAGAAAUUAUUUUUUUGUUGUUGUAUUUGAUGUUUUUUUCAUCUUCUGUUACAAAAGAAAAUCAGUGAAUAAAAUUGUAAACUGAACAUAUUCAGCAUAUAAUUUUAAUUUGGUCAAAACUUAUUCGGAAAUAAGUUAUAACAACAGUAAUAUACUAAGUUUUAAGAAUUUUGAUAAUUUUAGAUCUCAAAAUUUAAAUACAUAUAUUUUUUUAGCAGGCAACUUAUAAUUUUUAGUUCAAAAUAUGUAUGACACAAUAUGGAAAUCAUGCUCGUAAAUCGUUAUUAAUUUAUGAGAAGUUGUUGAAUAUCUAUCUAUCUAUCUAUCUAUAUAUAUAAAAAAUUGUUUUAUCCCUCUUUAGAGAGACACAUCAGAUGCCAGCUAGGAAAUUCGUGUCAUGAGAGCACGACAUGUGUCCGCAAGAAUGAAACUCACUGUAUCAUUUAACAUGUAACAUGAUGGGCUUUAUUUGAAGAAACAGAGUACGUUGUAACAUGAUGGGCUUUAUUCUUCUCGCACGGCUGUAAAGAUAAUUAGGGUUCUUCUUUUUUCCAUAACUCAUGAUCUGCAACAACAAUGAAGUUUCAGGUUGUUGAGUGAUAGAUUCGUCGUGGGCUACAAUAAUUUUAUUUGGGCUGUUACAACAAAAAAGGCCAGCUGCUUACACUCACCUUCUUCAGCAAUGGAUGUCAUCGACAUCUAUGGUUCGUCGUGCUCAUCAAAUUCUCAUUCAUCUCCAAUAAUGGAGUUCUGGAGAGCUAUUCGAGACAAAUCGUGAUGAUGAUUCCCUGGAUCGAGAAGUCUUAGUGUCGUUUCAUCUCCGGUUCUUCUCCCCCGAACCGUUACACGAUUAAUUGAUUGUCUGUCAUUAAGAUAUCGUUAACUCUUUCAACCUACCGCUACCACGAUUUCACAGUCAAUGCAUCUUCCCUUUCUUUAAGGCGGUGCAUCUACAGCUAUAAAAAGGACCAAGCCGACCAGAUCUUGGGAAGAAGAAACUCAAGUAGCAAGCUAAAUAAUCUUUUCCUAACGUGGCAAUAUCUAUAUACUGUAUGUUUUCUUUUCAUACUCAGGUAGGUAGCAUGAUUAUGUCCCAGAUCCUUCCAUGGUUUCUAUCGGGUUUGUCAAAUCUCUUUUUUUAUCUGAAUCAUCUUAUUGACUUAGAUUGAAUAAUAUAAUUUCCAUUUCGUUUCGAUUUGUGUUUAUCAAAUGAGCAAUUUUGUUUGUGUUUGUCUUUCUCUUCCCUCGCCACAAGAUCUUCUGAUGAACACUAUGAAUCGCUUCUAAUCGUUUUUGUCAUAUCUACCAUUGGCUCAACACAAACACAUGGAGAUCGAAACCAUUCAGUAUGAAGCGGACUUCGUCGGAAGUGUAUGGCGAAGAUUCUCUGUGAAGAGAUGGAGUUGAGAUGAGGAUGAGAGCUCCUAUUUCUCUUUGAAGAAAUUUACGGACGGCUCAGACUAUUAAUCAGUUAGCGCCUGUCCUGAUGUGGAAAGAGCUUUUGUUUUUUUAUGCUCGCCGGCCGCGUUAAAGAAGAUGUAUUCUUCGGCACCGUUUGUGACUUUGUGUUAUCCCCGAGUUUGUAACAUGUGUUUUUAAGAAGUGACUUCGUUUUAUUAAGCCUUAUCAACUUCAUGGGUUCCUUUUGGGCGUACGUUGGAAAACAUAUUUGGCUUUGAACGCAGCAGUCGAUUAGUCUCUCUUAAUCUC